RNAcentral lists this ribosomal RNA (274 nucleotides) under uncultured bacterium. Its description in RNAcentral is "partial 16S ribosomal RNA". It matches the Rfam family "Bacterial small subunit ribosomal RNA", at positions 523 to 796 of the family's 1533-position model. The record is from RNAcentral.
AUACGGAGGUUGCAAGCGUUACUCGGAAUCACUGGGCGUAAAGGACGCGUAGGCGGGAUGCCAAGUCUGAUGUGAAAUCCUAUGGCUCAACCAUAGAACUGCAUUGGAAACUGGUAACCUAGAGUAUGGGAGGGGGAGAUGGAAUUAGUGGUGUAGGGGUAAAAUCCGUAGAUAUCACUAGGAAUACCGAAAGCGAAGGCGAUCUCCUGGAACAUUACUGACGCUAAGGCGUGAAAGCGUGGGGAGCAAACAGGAUUAGAAACCCCGGUAGUCC